Molecule: ribosomal RNA, 253 nt
Filed under: uncultured bacterium
Lineage: Bacteria
Description: partial 16S ribosomal RNA
Rfam family: Bacterial small subunit ribosomal RNA
Source: RNAcentral
GACGUAGGGGGCCAGCGUUGUUCGGAAUUACUGGGUGUAAAGGGUUCGUAGGCGGUGCGGCAAGUUGGGAGUGAAAUCUCUGGGCUUAACCCAGAGGCUGCUUCCAAAACUGCUGUGCUUGAGUGUGGGAGAGGCGCGUGGAAUUGCAGGUGUAGCGGUGAAAUGCGUAGAUAUCAGGAAGAACACCCGUGGCGAAGGCGGCUCUCUGGAACGCAACUGACGCUGAGACGCGAAAGCGUGGGGAGCAAACAGG